GCCGGGGGUUCCCAGGGCUGCCCCGGCCCGGCUCGGGUCUGCGCAAGGCGGGGACAGCCACCCUCUGCUCCUUGCUGCAUUAGCGGGUUUCGCCCUCUCCUAGCAGAGCGUCCCCGGGGGGCGGCUGGGAGAUUCCUGAGGAGAGCAGAGUGCCCGGAAGGAGCGGCAGGAGGAGGCGGGCGAGGAGAGCAUCCCCUCUCCGCUGCCGCCGCUGAAGCCGUGCAGAGCUGUCGGUGUGGCUCCCCAGAGUUAGUUGCUCAGCAACAAGGAUCAAUUAAUAUGCUUUGCAGAAAGUGCAGGGGAAGCCCGAGCUGCUGUCAGCGAGAAGGCAGAAGGCUGAGGUCCCUCUGAUGACGCCACGAAUCUGGGAAUGAAGAACUUCUUCAAGCUGAUUGGAAAUGGCAUUGCGGAGCUGAAACUUAACUGGAGGAAAUAUAUCUCCCAAAGAAGGAAAUAUAAUGCACUUUAAAGAUCUGACUUCUGGUGAAAAAUUCAAGCCUAGAGAAAACUUGUCUGCUUUGUUUGGAAGAAUGGGUUGGACAAUUUUCUUCAGUUCCACAGGAUAUCUGAGUGCCAUGCUGAGCUUGAUCUCUGCAGCAUGCUCUGUGCUUCUCAUCUCUUCCUGAUGCACUGCAUGUGAGUUUGAAGAGGGGUGGCUGCCCCUUGAGGAGCAAACCAAGGUGAAGGCCUGCCCCUGCCCUGAGGUGAUCUCCAUCAAGUCCUACUGGAUUUGACAGGAGAUGAAAUGCUGAGGAGCAGGUUUGAGUGGCAGUUGUCAUGGGCUCUCCAGCUGUGGAAAGAGGUCAGCUCUUUAAUUGCAAGCUCCCUGAAAGGCCAACUUCAGCACUACCCAUUGCAUAGCCCUAUAUUGUUGAUACUGAACAGCAGUUCCUACCAGCUCUAUGGUAGAUAUUAUCCUGAAGGGAACGAUAAAGAAACUGGCCACCAAGAUGGUAAUCACUAGUGGAAAUGAAGAAGAUAAAGGCAAUCAAGAAAAGGAAAGCAAAGAAGAAACCAUCUUGGCAAUGCUUGGAAUUAUUGGGACAAUUCUAAACCUCAUUGUGAUCAUUUUUGUGUACAUUUACACAACGUUGUAAACUAGCAGGCAUGCAAAUAGAACAGAUAAAACGGCCAUUAAGAGUGACAACAAACAUUGCUGACUAUUGACAAGUUGUUUAAUCAGAAUUGACUCUGUAUUAUAUUAACACAUCAUAAAAGCACUGCCUGCAGGCAGCAAAGGCUGAAGCACAAUUAAUUUAACAAGACUUCUUCACGCAGUAACAAGCUAAACUCUUCUGUCCUGCCCUCUUCCUUUCGCUUUGGUUUUUGGUUUGGGGAAAACAUGACUGCAAUUAUGUAAGUUGUAGCUUUGGAGAAAUCCACCUGGGUUAUGUUGUUUUAACACAAUUUAAAAAAAAAAAAAAAAAAAAAAAAAAAAAAAAAAGAAAAAAAUUAGAAACUGUACACUAUAUACAAUUAAAAAUGUAUACUGUAUACCUGCAAAGAUGGAACUCUAAGAUAGCUGCAUAGCACAGAUCACGUGUCCAUUAGGUCAAAUGUUAUUUUCUCUCUUGUUUUAUGCUUUUACUUACAUCGAAUCUGACAAGCUUUUUGUUUAGAAUGAACAUAUGGUGCAAUCAUGAAAGAAAAAAAACAAUUCUAUUGAGCAAGAUCUGCCUAAAACUGAUAAGAUGUUUGGAGAAAUAUGGUAUGUGGUUAUUUUAACUUUCUCAUUUGCUUAACAUCUGUGUCUGUUCAUACCAAUGUUUAUAAAUAUAUAUUUUUAAUAAAUGUGCUAUAUUUUUAGCAUGAGCCAAA
Lagopus leucura (white-tailed ptarmigan) is the source of this 1818-nucleotide long non-coding RNA. RefSeq lists it as uncharacterized. The record is from RefSeq and is a predicted model, not a curated record. Lineage: Eukaryota; Metazoa; Chordata; Aves; Galliformes; Phasianidae. The transcript has 5 exons.